This 861-nucleotide ribosomal RNA is filed under the name Parathyridaria clematidis. RNAcentral describes it as "partial large subunit ribosomal RNA". It matches the Rfam family "Eukaryotic large subunit ribosomal RNA", at positions 34 to 910 of the family's 3401-position model. Lineage: Eukaryota; Fungi; Ascomycota; Dothideomycetes; Pleosporales; Thyridariaceae. The record is from RNAcentral.
AUAAGCAUAUCAAUAAGCGGAGGAAAAGAAACCAACAGGGAUUGCCCCAGUAACGGCGAGUGAAGCGGCAAUAGCUCAAAUUUGAAAUCUGGCUCUUUCAGGGUCCGAGUUGUAAUUUGCAGAGGGUGCUUUGGCGUCGGCCGUGGUCUAAGUUCCUUGGAACAGGACGUCACAGAGGGUGAGAAUCCCGUACGUGGCCGCCGGUCUUCGCCGUGUAAAGCCCCUUCGACGAGUCGAGUUGUUUGGGAAUGCAGCUCUAAAUGGGAGAUAAAUUUCUUCUAAAGCUAAAUAUUGGCCAGAGACCGAUAGCGCACAAGUAGAGUGAUCGAAAGAUGAAAAGCACUUUGGAAAGAGAGUCAAAAAGCACGUGAAAUUGUUGAAAGGGAAGCGCUUGCAGCCAGACGUGCCCGCAGUUGCUCACCCGGGCUCUCGCCCGGGGCACUCUUCUGCGGGCAGGCCAGCAUCAGUUCGGGCGGUUGGAUAAAGGCCUCUGUCACGUACCACCCCCUCGGGGGCGGCCUUAUAGGGGAGGCGCAACACGACCAGCCCGAACUGAGGACCGCGCAUUAUGCUAGGAUGCUGGCGUAAUGGCUGUAAGCGGCCCGUCUUGAAACACGGACCAAGGAGUCUAACAUCUAUGCGAGUGUUUGGGUGUCAAGCCCGGACGCGCAAUGAAAGUGAACGGAGGUGGGAACCCUUACGGGCGCACCAUCGACCGAUCCUGAAGUCUUCGGAUGGAUUUGAGUAAGAGCAUAGCUGUUGGGACCCGAAAGAUGGUGAACUAUGCCUGAAUAGGGUGAAGCCAGGGGAAACCCUGGUGGAGGCUCGCAGCGGUUCUGACGUGCAAAUCGAUCGUCAAAU